UGAGGAAUAUUGGGCAAUGCCCGCAAGGGUGACCCAGCAACGCCGCGUGGGGGAUGAAUGUCGUAAGAUUGUAAACUCCUGUUAGAGGGGAAGAAUAGUACCGGUUGGACCGGUAUAUGACUGUACCCUCAGAGAAAGCCCCGGCUAACUACGUGCCAGCAGCCGCGGUAAUACGUAGGGGGCAAGCGUUGUCCGGAUUUACUGGGUGUAUAGGGCGCGCAGGCGGGAUAAAAAGUCAGUGGUGAAAUCCUACAGCUUAACUGUAGAACUGCCUUUGAUACUUUUAUUCUUGAGUUCGGGAGAGAGAGACGGAAUUCCAGGUGUAGUGGUGAAAUACGUAGAUAUCUGGAAGAACACCAGUUGCGAAGGCGGUCUCUUGGUCCGACACUGACGCUGAGGCGCGAAAGCGUGGGGAGCAAACA
This 422-nucleotide ribosomal RNA is filed under the name uncultured bacterium. Its description in RNAcentral is "bacterial SSU rRNA". It matches the Rfam family "Bacterial small subunit ribosomal RNA", at positions 355 to 774 of the family's 1533-position model. The record is from RNAcentral.